AAUAUGUUUGAGAUAUCAGACAGGAGAAGGAUGCAAAUUUAGGUUGUGUUGUCCACUCUUGCUUUCACAGCAUUUGAGCUUCCCCCUAAUGGGGCUAUUGGAACAAGAAUAUUGGAGUUCCUUUUUCACUCAAGGCCUGAUUUGGUGAACAUCAGGAGUGUUGAUGAGGCAAUAGUGAUCGGUGCUGCUCUUUCAUUGUCUUCUUCAGCUUUUGUCCUGCAGCUUGGAACAUUUUUGGCUGGGGCAUUAUUAGCAGAAACAAAUUUCCGAACACAGAUUGAAGCUGAUAUAAGGCCAUUUAGAGGCUUGCUGCUUGGGUUAUUUUUUGUUACUACUGGCACUUCCAUUGACAUGCAGAUUGAUAAUGUUGGCAUGGAUACAGUGAUGUUUUUGGGCCAGAUUGAUGAUGUUUGCAUGGGCGCAAUUUACAUUAUAUUUUUUGUUUAUGGAAA
Camellia sinensis is the source of this 452-nucleotide non-coding RNA. The record is from RefSeq and is a predicted model, not a curated record. NCBI's taxonomy places the organism in Eukaryota, Viridiplantae, Streptophyta, Magnoliopsida, Ericales, Theaceae.